Molecule: microRNA, 21 nt
Filed under: Oryza sativa (Asian cultivated rice)
Lineage: Eukaryota; Viridiplantae; Streptophyta; Magnoliopsida; Poales; Poaceae
Also listed under: 1 other name
Description: osa-miR3981-3p
Source: miRBase by way of RNAcentral
AGUAUUAGGAUACGUCUCAUC